UUGAAUAUAUACUUUUCAAUACUUGACCUUUAGGAAUUAAGCGUGUCAACGAAACUUCGUGGUUUAAUCUGUAAGAGAAUUGUCUUUAUCUUUUCAAGCUAAGAAGUAUAUAUGCAUGAUAUAAAUAGGGCAUAACUCGUUUCGCUUUUGCACAUCCACAGGACACACAAGAAAAAAAAAAGAAACAUAAAAGGAAGAGGAAGAAGAAAACGAAUUAAUUAGGUCAUAUCAAGAAAGUAAGUACUGCAGAACAACAAGGAACUAAUGAAGAAGAAUGUGAAGGUUGUGAUUUUACUCUCUGUCAUUUGCCUCCUCCUAACAUCUGCCGUUGCUCGAAGAGGAGGCGGCAGCAGCGGCAUCGGCAUCGGUAGAGGAGCCGGCGUAGCCGGUGCGUCUCGUAGUUCUAGUAGCAGCAGCAAUAGCAGCCCAGCCAUCACCUUAGGGUGGUCUUGCUAUACCAUUUCUCUAUUGACUUACCUCUCAUUCUUUUACUUCUAAACUCAACUAGCUCCUUCAUAGAUUUGAUCAGCGGUGUAUUUACGUAUUCAUUCUUUUUACCACACGUAAUAUGAAUAUUCUUUUGUACAAAACAGAACAGUGAAUUGAUAUAGUUAAUAUAUGGAGUAUUCGAUUUAAGAUGUGAUCAUAACAGUGACGACCCAAAUCACCUGUUUUCUCAUGCAUUAUGUGUCUUCGGGGCCUUGAAAAACCUCAUUUAAGAUUGCCUCUAUUUGUCUGCGCAGUCCGAACGCGUAGCCGGAAAGCUUAAAUGUGAAUUCUAUGAGUAAAUGCUAGAGUUUGAUAUUUAAAAUGAUUAAAUUUGACUUCGGUCAACAUUUCGGGUAAACGGACCUGGACCCGUGAUUUGACGGUCCCGAAGGGUCCGUAGGAAAAUAUAGGACUUGGGCAUAUGUCCGGAAUCGAACUCCGAGGUCCCCAGUCCGAGAAAUAAAUUUUUGUGUGAAAUUGUUUUCUGGAAAUAAUUAUGGAAAUUAAAAAUGGAAUUUGAUUAGAAGACUAUGGUAUUGGGCCUUUAUUUUGGUUCUGGCUCCCGGUACAAGUCAUAUAUAUAAUUUAAACACUUUCUGUAAAGUUUGGUUGAAAACGGACGUAGUUUGACGUGUUUCGGACUUAAAAUGGAACUUUGAUAUUUUAUGAAAAAUCGGGAAGAAAUCAUGAGUUUUGAGGCUUGAUUCGGUGUAUAUGAUGUUAUUUUGGCGAUUUAAUCGCACGAAUAUGUUUGUAUGAUGAUUAUGAGGUGCACACUGGGCAAUGAUCUGCAUGCCUUCAGAAAGCCUCUGCGGGCGCGAUCCUUUUUGCGCGGUUCACGCGGGGAACUUUAGAGGGGUAUAAGUACACGUGAAUUUUAGUUAUUUUACACUUUUCUAAACCCCAAAACAUAAGAGGCGAUUUUUCAAACAACUCUUCUUCUCCAAAACGAUUGGUAAGUCGCAUCUGAGAGUAUAAAUACACGGAAUUUUGAGUUAUUUUUCACUUUUCAAAAACCCAAAACAUAUGAGGCAAUUUUUCAAGCAAUUAUUCUUCUUCAAAACGUUUGAUAAGUGAUUUCUAUAUUAUUUUCUUCACUCCUUAACAUCUUUUAACAUGAUUUCAACUUCAAAUCAAAGAUUUCCGUUGGUGAAAUUGGGGAUUUUAGGUAGAACUUAGAUUUUUCUAAAAUUAGGAAUUCGGACCUCAAUUUGGGGUCCGAUUUAUAAAUAAAUUAUAUAUUUGGGUUCGUAGGGGAACGGGUAACCGGGUUUUGGUUCGAACCUCGGGUUUGACCACGUUGGCCGGGGGACUUUUUGAACUUUGGGAAAACUUUUGAGAAAUUUAUUAUUAUGGAUUCAAAUUGAUUCAAUUAGCAUUUGUUGAUGUAUUCAAGUAAUUUUUUACUAGGUUCGAGCAAUUUUGUGGUGGAAUCGAGGGGUAAAGUUGUACUGGAGGCUUGAGUUAAGUUUGAAGCAUCAAGGUAAGUGUACCUUAGCUUGAGGGAAUAGGAGUUGAGUCUUGUUUGCUACUUGCUAAUUGUCGAGUACGGUGUAUAGACAUGGUGACGAAUAUCUAUACACUGGUGUCUAACAUGAUUGUGAGUCCUUAAAAUGUGAAUAUCAUGACUUUGUUGAGAUUUUCAUGCUUAAUUGAGGAUUCCUAUAUAUUGAAGAGCACAUGUGAAAUACUUUAUGAAUAUUUGGAUUUUCUGGAGAGAUGGAUCGAAUGAUAAAGUGAUUCAUAAAGUAAGAAAAGAAUGACUAUGUGGUUCUUCCCUUAUGAGGACGUUAUGUUGUUGUUGAUUUUCUCCCCUGCUAGGAUUUAACAGCCUCGUUGUAUUCCCUUGCCGGGGCUUCUUCCAUUAUUUAUUUACUUCCUUGCACUUAUUUGAGAUUGUUGCUUGGGUGAGGAAAUAUAUAUAUAUAUAUAUAUAUAUAUCGGGUUGCACGCUGCAAUAAUUAUACAUAUAUGGAUCGGGUUGUACAUCGCAACAAAUGAUAUAUGUGGAUCGGGUUGCAUGGGCAACAAAUGAUAUAUGUGGAUCAGAUUUCACGCCGUAAUAGUAUGGUUAUACAUUAGGAUCGAGUUGCGCGCCACAACAAUUGUUCGCUCCAAUGUGUUUACUUUGAGUAUUUGUUUCUGUUGGCUGCUUCUAUCUUUAAAUUGAGAUUUACUAUUUGUAUCUAUUGCCUCCCCACAUCAUGUUUCCCCCUUCCUUUAUCGGCUAUUAUUUUCUGUGUUUCUUUCCGUUGCAUAUAUAUUUUAGCUGCCCAGGUUUAUCUGGUAGUCUGGUUCAAGCCUCGUCACUAAUUCGUCUUAGUUAGGCUAGGUACUUACCAACACAUGGGGUCGAUUGUGCUGAUGCUACAUUCUGUGCUAUUUUAUACAGAUCACAGUGUUGGAGUAGUUUUUGAGCAGCAGCAGUUUUCUGGGAGCGAGCUUUCAGUCAAGAGACACCGAGGUAGCCUUCCUGACAUCCGCAAGCCCGGAGUCUCCUCUAUGUUUAUUUCAGUUUGUUAUCCUUUAUACCGAACAAAAAGUUUACAAUUUCUUUCAGACCUUGUAUGCAGUGUUCUUAGAUGUUCAUGAGUUUGUGACUCCAGUUCUUGGGUAGAGAUUUAUGUUGAGAUUUCCUUAUUAUUUUCCAGCUAUUUAAAUUUAAGACAUUCGCUUAUGAUUAUAAUUCUGUUGUUUCACUUUAAUGCUAAUAAUUAUUAAAAAGGGUUAUGUGUUUAAUGAAAAGUAAUUAAGUUUUGGUUUGUCUAGCUUCCACGAGUAGGCGUCGUCAAGACUCCCCAGGUGGGGAUUUCGGGUCGUGACAAGUUGGUAUAAGAGCACUAGGUUGCGUAGGUCUCACAACUUACGGACAAACUUAGUAGAGUUUGAGGGAUCAGUACGGAGAUGUCUAUAUUUAUCCCGAGAGGCUAAAGAGUUAGGAAAAACUUCACAUUUGUGUUUCAUGUCGUGCGGUUUUGUUUCUCAAAUACUAAUUGUCUUUCUAGUCUGUUCUUUCGCAGAUGGAGAGAACACGCGCUUUCUCUUCUACCUCGCAGUGGCCCGAGCCCCCAGCAGCAGUUCCCACGAGGGGUAGAGGUCGAGGCCGUGCCAGAGGCCGAGGUAGGGGCAGAGCUUAGCCCCGAGCAGCAGCCCUAGUGGCGGAGCCCCAGGAUGACUACGACGAGGAGGUUCCAGCCCCAGAGCUCCGGCAUGCCCAGCAGGUUCCAGAGGGUUUCAUUGCCACCCCAGUUCUUCAGGACGCUCUAGUCCGAUUGGUAGUGCUAAAGGAGAGUGUCAGCGAAGCGGGUUUGCUUCCAGUAGCACCAGCCAUUUCCCAGACUGGAGGAGGGGUUCAGACUCCUGCUACACGUACUCCGAAGUAGGUAACUCCCAAGGUUUAGGUCCCAGCGGUUUAGCUAGACGUGACAGUUCACCCGGGUGUCGCAGCUUAGAUUGGCGAUGGAGCGGCUAUGUCCGCAAAUGCUUUGUGGAGGCUGGAUAGAUUCACCAAGCUAUUCACCACCACCUUCAGCGCUGCUUCUUUAGAGGACCCGCAGGAUUUCCUAUAUAGCUGCCACGAGGUUCUUCAGAACAUGGGCAUUGUUGAGACCAAUGGGGUUUAUUUUGCCAACUUUCGUCUAUCUGGAUCCGCCAAGACGUGGCGGAGAGACUAUUGCUUAGCCAGACUAGCAUGGUCUUCUUCCUUGACUUGGGAGCAGUUUUCAGAGUUGUUUAUGGAAAAGUUUCUCCCAGUUACUCAUAGAGAAGCUCUUCGCAGGCAUUUUGAGCGCCUUCAACAGGGCUCCAUGAUGGUCACUCAGUAUGAGACCCGGUUUAUUGAUCUAGCUCGCCAUGAUAUUGUCAUACUCCCUACCAAGAGAGAGAGAGAGAGAGAGAGAGGGUGAGGAGGUUUACUGAUGGUUUGGUUCAGAUGAUUCGUCUCCAUAUGGCUAUGAGAGCCGGGAGUGAGAUUUCUUUUCAGGAAGCGGCGAAUGCGGCCCGCCAAGUUGAGAUGGCUCUGUCUCAGGGAGGAGGUCAUGGGUCGGAUAAGAGGCCCGUCACUCAAGUAGAUUCAGUGGUACCUCGUCUGGAGGUAAAGAUUCUUAUGGUAGAGGCCAUCCUCCUAGGCCUUUUCAGUCAGCUCUACAGGUCUCUCAUGGUACUUCAGGUGGUCGUGGUUCUCAACCACAUUAUUCUAAUCAGCAGCCUUACAGUGCACCACCAGCUCCUAUCAGUGCACCACCGCUUCAAAGCUUCCGAGGUGGUCAUUUAGGCCAAUAGGGCCAGUCUCAGUUUCCUUAGCAGCAGCAUUCGAAUGGGUGUUAUGAGUGUGGUGAGUAUGAUCACAUUAGGAGGUCUUGCCCGAGGUUGAGAGGUGCUCAGUCGCAGCAGAAGGGUCCCCGUCCUAUGAUUCAGGCACUAGGUGUUCCACAAGCCGCCCAGCCAGCUAGAGGUGGGGGCAAAGGUAUGAAGGUGGAGGUAUAGGUCAUAGAGGUAGAGCUCAGACCACCGGAGCUAGAGGCUAGCCCGAAACUGUUCGUCCCUGAGAUAUGGUUUAGGGAUGUAGGGCCCAGCAUCGAUGUUAUGCUCUCCCAGCCAGGCCAGAGGCUGAGUCAUCAGACGUUGUUAUUACAGGUACUAUUUUGAUAUGUGAUAGAGAUGCUUUAGUGCUAUUUGACCCAGGGUCUACGUAUUCGUAUGUGUCAUUAUUUUUCACUGUACCUGGUUUUGCCUAGUGAUGCAUCGAGUAUUCCUAUUUAUGUGUCUAUGCUGGUGGGUAAGUUUAUUGUGGUCGACCGAGUUCAUCGUUCCUAUUUUGUAGUGUUUGGGGGUCUUGAGACCCGUGUUGAUUUGUUGCUUUUAGACAUGGUCGACUUCGACGUUAUAUUAAGGAUUGAUUAGUUUUUCCCAUAUCAUGCUAUUUUGUAUUUCCAUGCCAAGACUGUAUCCUUAGCUCUACCGGAUUUGCCCCGUUAGAGUGGAGGGGGACUCCAGGUCACCCUACCCGCAGUAUUAUUUCAUAUGUGAAGGCUCGACGCAUGGUCAAGAAUGGGUGUUUAGCAGAGGUCCCUUCUAUUGAUUCUAUGCUAGUAGUUCAGGAGUUUCCUGAGGUUUUCCCUUCAGACCUGUCGAGUAUGCUGCCCGACAGGGAUACCGACUUUUGUAUUGAUGUGGCUCUGGGCACUUAGUCCCGUCGUAUCGCAUGGCCCCGCCAUAGUUGAAAGAGUUAAAGGAUCAGUUGCAGGAUUUGCUUGAGAAGGGUUUCAUUAGACCCAGCGUUUCGCCUUGGGGCGCGCCGGUGUUAUUUGUGAAGAAAAAGGAUAGUUCCAUGAGUAUGUGCAUUGAUUACUGGAAAUUAAACAAAGUUACAAUCAAGAAUAAGUAUCUGUUGCCGAGGAUUGACGAUUUAUUCAACCAACUUUAGGGUGCCAAGGUGUUUUCAAAGAUAGACUUGAGAUCUAGCUACCACCAGUUGAGGAUUGGGGUAUCCGAUGUUCCUAAGACGUCUUUUCACACUUGGUACGGGCAUUACAAGUUUUUGGUCAUGUCAUUAGGGUUGACCAAUGCCCCAGCAGCGUUCAUAGAGCUGAUGAACCAAGUGUUCACGACUUAUUUGUACUUGUUUGUGAUAUUCUUUGUUGAUGAUAUUCUGGUAUGCUCCCACAACCAGGAGGAGAACGAGCAGCACCUCAGAGUGGUUCUUCCGACUCUGAAGGACAGUAAGUUAUAUGAGAAAUUUUUGAAGUGUGAGUUCUGGUUGAGUUCGGUCGCAUUUUGGGUACGUUGUAUCAGUAUAGGGUAUUCAGGUGGACCCGAAGAAGAUUGAGGCAGUCAAAAACUGGCCUCGACUAGCCUCGACUACAGAGAUUCGGAGUUUCUUAGGGUUGGCAGGCUACUAUCGUCGAUUCGUGGAGGGGUUUUCAUCCAUAGCAACCCCGAUUAACAGAUUGAACCAAAAGGGUGCCCAAUUCAGAUGGUCGGAUGAGUGUGAGGCGAUCUUUUAGAAGCUCAAGAUAGCUCUGACUACGGCACCAACAUUGGUUUUGCCCAUAAGUUCAGGGCCUUACACAGUCUAUUGUGAUGCUUCCCGUAUCGGUCUUGGUGCAGUAUUGAUGCAGGAUGGCAGAGUAAUUGCCUAUGCUUCGAGGUAGUUAAAGAUCCACGAGAAGAAUUAUCCAGUGCAUGAUCUAGAGUUGGUAGCCAUUGUUCGUGCUUUGAAGAUUUGGAGGCAUUAUCUAUAUGGUGUGACGUGUGAGGUGUGCACUGAUCCAAGAGUCUUCAGUAUCUGUUCAAGCAAAAGGAGUUGAAUUUGAGGCAGAUGAGGUGGUUGGAGUUGUUGAAAGAUUAUGAUGUUACUAUCUUGUAUCACCCGGGGAAGGACAAUGUGGUGGCCGAUGCGUUGAGUAUGAAGUCUGUCAGCAUGGGCAGUCUUGUUUAUAUUCCGGCAACCAUACACUGCUUGCUUUGGAUGUUCAGGCCUUGAGCAAUCGAUAUGUGAGGUUGGAUAUUUCUGAGCCUAGCCGAGUUUUACCUUUCACGGUCUCUCGCUCUUCAAUAUUGGAGCGUAUCCAUGAAUGGCAGUUUGAUGAUCCCCAUUUAUGUGUCCUUAGAGAUACAGUGCAGCGAGGAGGUGCUAAGCAGGUGACCUUAGAGGAUGAUUAUAUUUUGAGAUUUGAGGGGCGAGUUUGUGUCCCCAAUGUGGAUGUGAUUUGAGAGUUGGUCUUAGCGGAAGCCCAUAGUUCCCUGCAUUCUAUUCACCCGGGCACCACAAAGAUGUAUCAGGAUCUGAGGCAGCAUUAUUGGUGGCGUAGAAUGAAGAAAUAUAUCAUGGCAUAUGUGGCACGGUGCUUGCAUUAUCAGCAAGUUAAGUAUGAGCAUCAGAGACUUGGUGGUCUAUUUCAGAGGAUUGAGCUUCCCGAGUGGAAGUGGGAGAGGAUUACCAUGGAUUUCGUUAAUGGACUUCCGUUGACCCAGAAGAAGCUCAAUGCAGUUUGGGUCAUUCUUGAUAGGAUGACUAAGUUAGUGCAUUUCAUUCUUGUGGCAGUCUCCUAUUCAUCCGAGAGGUUAGCUUAUAUUUAUAUUCAGGAUAUUGUUCGUUUCCAUGGUGUGCCGGUAUCUAUCAUUUCGGAUCGAGGUACACAGUUUAACUCACGUUUUUGGAGAGCAGUUCAACAAGAUUUAGGCAUUCGGGUGGAGUUGAGUACAACAUUUCAUCCUCAGACUGACGGACAGUCCGAGCGGACUAUUCAGAUUGGAGGAUAUGCUCCGAGCUUGUGUUAUCGACAUUCGAGGUUCGUGGGAUCUGUUUUUGCCCUUAGUAAAGUUUGCCUACAACAACAACUACCAGUUCAGCAUUCAGAUCUCUCCUUAUGAAGUGUUAUAUGGUAGACGGUGUCGAUCUCUGGUUGGAUGGUUUGAGCCGAGAGAUGCUCGGUUGUUGGGUACAUAUUUUGUUCAGGAGGUCUUGGACAAGGUCAAGAUCAUUCAGGAUAGGCUUCGUACAGCUCGGUCUAGGGAAAAGAGUUGUGCAGAUCGCAAGGUUCGAGAUGUGGCUUCCAUGGUUGGUGAGCGAGUAUUGCUCCGAGUGUCGCCUAUGAAGGCCGUGAUGAGAUUUGGGAAGAAGGGCAAGCUUAUCCCUAGAUUCAUUGGUCCGUUUGAGAUUCUUGAUUGAAUGGGAGAGGUGGCUUAUAGACUUGACUUGCCACCUAUCUUAUCAGCUGUGUAUCUAGUGUUUCAUGUAUCUAUGCUCCGUAAGUAUCACGGCGAUCCAUCCCACGUGUUAGAUUUCAGCAGUGUCCAGUUGGACAAUAAUCUUUCUUAUGAGGAGGAGCCGGGAGCUAUUCUAGACCGGCAAGUUCGUCAGUUGAGGUCCAAGAGUUUUCCUUCUAUUUCUGUUCAGCUGAGAGGACAGCCCCCUGAGGCAUCGACUUGGGAGUCCGAGUCCAAUAUGCGGAACCGUUAUCCCCAUCUAUCUCCCGACUCAGGUACGUCUUUCAUUUGUCCGUUCGAGGACGAACGGUUGUUUUAGAGGUGGAGAAUGUGACGAUCCAAAUGGUCAUCGCUUGUUUCCUCAUGCAUUUUGUGUCUCCGAGGCUUUGAAAAACCUUAUUUAAGGCUGCCUCGAUUUGCGUGUAUAGUACAGGCGCAUAAUCGGAAAGCUUAAAUGUGAAUUCUAUGAGAAAAUGAUAGAGUUUGAUAUUUAAAAUAAUUAAAUUUGACUUCUAUCAACUUUUCGGGUAAACAGUCCAUACCCGUGAUUUGACGGUCUCGGAGGGUCCGUAGGAAAAUAUGCGAUUUGAACGUAUGUCCGGAAUCGAAUUCCGAGGUCCCAAGUCCGAGAAAUGAAUUUUUGUGUGAAUUAUUUUCUGGAAAUAAUUAUGGAAAUUAAAAAUGGAAUUUCAUUAUAAGACUAUGGUAUCGGGCCCGUAUUUUGGUUCUGGCGCCCGGUACAAGUCAUAUAUAUAAUUUAAACACUUUUUGUAAAGUUUGGUUGAAAACAUACGUAGUUUGACGUGUUUCAUAUUUAAUAUAGAAGUUUGAUGUUUUAUGAAAAAUCUAGAAGAAAUCAUGAGUUUUGAGGCUUGAUUCGGUGUAUUUGAUAUUAUUUUGGCGAUUUAAUCAACCGGAUAUGUUCGUAGGGUGAUUUUGAGGUUCUGAAUAUGUUUGGGUUGGAGCCCCGAGGGCUCGGGUGAGUUUCAAGUAGGUUCCGAAAUGCCUUAGAACUAAAAGAGCAGAUGUUGCAGGUUCAGGAAAUAUUGCCAGGUCUCGGAACCCUCGUGUGUGGCCCGCGAGGAAACGAGUGCGGUCGCGGAGGGGCCAGCGGGGCCACGGUCGCUUUUGAGAAGUCCGCGGUGGGAGCUGCGCGGCCGCGGUCGGCCUGGUGCAGUGCGCACUAGGCAAUGAUCCGCAGGCAUUCAGAAAGCUUGUGCGGUUGCGGUCCUUUUUGCGCGGUCCGCGCGGAGAACUUCAGAGGGGUAUAAAUACACGUGAAUUUCAGUUAUUUUACACUUUCCAAACCCCAAAACAUAAGAGGCGAUUUUCAAAAAAAUUCUUCUUCUCCGAAAUGAUUGAUAAGUGAUUUCUAAAUUAUUUUCUUCAUUCCUUAAAAUCUUUUAAAAUGAUUUCAACUUCAAAUCAAAGACUUCCAUGGGUGAAAUUGGGGAUUUUGGGUAAAACUUAGGGUUUUCUAAAAUUGGGGAUUUGAACCUCAAUUUGGGGUCUGAUUUCAAAAUAAAUUAUAUAAUUGGGUUCAUAGGGAAUGGUAAUCGGGUUUUGAUUCGAACCUCGGAUUUAGACCACGUGGUCCCGGAGGCAUUUUUGGGCAAAACUUUGGGAAAUUUAUUUUUAUGCAUUCAAAUUAAUUCAAUUAGCAUUUGUCGAUGUAUUGAAGUAAUUUGUGACUAGGUCCGAACGGUUUUGUGGUGGAAUCGAGGGGUAAAGCUGUACUGGAGGCUUGAGUUGAGUUUCAAGUAUCGAGGUAAGUGUUUGGUCUAACCUUAGCUUGAGAGAAUAGGAGUUGAGUAUUGUUUGCUACUUGCUAAUGAUCGAGUACGGUAUAUACGCAUGGUGAUGAGUAUCUAUAUACUGGUGUCUAGUAUGACCGUGAGUCCUUAAAAUGCGAAUAUCAUGACUUUGUUGAGAUUUUCGUGCUUAAUUGAGGAUUUCUAUACAUUGUAAAGCACAUGUGAAAGACGUUAUGGAUAUUGGAUUUUCUGGAGUGUUGGCUCGAAUGAUAAAGUGAUUCAUAAGUAAGAAACGAAAGAAAAGGAUGACUAUGUGGUUCUUCCCUUGCCGGGACAUUAUAUUGUUGUUGAUUUUCUCCCUUGCCGGGAUUUAACUACCUUGUUGUAUUCCCUUGCCGGAAUUUCUUCCAUUAUUUGUUUACUUCCUUACCCUUAUUUGAGAUUGUUGUUUGGGUGAGGAAAAAUAAUAUAUAUAUAUAUAUAUAUAUAUAUAUAUAUAUAUAUAUAUAUAUAUAUAUAUAUANNNNNNNNNNNNNNNNNNNNNNNNNNNNNNNNNNNNNNNNNNNNNNNNNNNNNNNNNNNNNNNNNNNNNNNNNNNNNNNNNNNNNNNNNNNNNNNNNNNNNNNNNNNNNNNNNNNNNNNNNNNNNNNNNNNNNNNNNNNNNNNNNNNNNNNNNNNNNNNNNNNNNNNNNNNNNNNNNNNNNNNNNNNNNNNNNNNNNNNNNNNNNNNNNNNNNNNNNNNNNNNNNNNNNNNNNNNNNNNNNNNNNNNNNNNNNNNNNNNNNNNNNNNNNNNNNNNNNNNNNNNNNNNNNNNNNNNNNNNNNNNNNNNNNNNNNNNNNNNNNNNNNNNNNNNNNNNNNNNNNNNNNNNNNNNNNNNNNNNNNNNNNNNNNNNNNNNNNNNNNNNNNNNNNNNNNNNNNNNNNNNNNNNNNNNNNNNNNNNNNNNNNNNNNNNNNNNNNNNNNNNNNNUAUAUAUAUAUAUAUAUAUAUAUCGCGUUGCAAGCCGCAAUAAUUAUAUUAAUAUGGAUCGGGUUGCACGCCAUGAUAUAUGUGGAUCGGGUUGCACGCCGCAACAAUGAUAUAUGUGAAUCGGAUUGCACGCCGCAACAAUGUAGUUAUACAUUUGGAUCUGGUUGCACACCACAACAAUUGUUGGCUCGAGUGUGUUUACUUUGAGUAUUUGUUUCUGUUGGCUGCUUCUAUCUUUAAAUUGAGAUUUACUAUUUGUAUAUGUUGCCUCCCCACAACAUGUUUCCCUCUUCCUUUAUCGGCUGCUAUUCUCUGUGUUUCCUUCUGUUGCAUAUAUAUUUUAAUUGCAUAGGUUUAUCUGGUAGUCUGGUCCUAGCCUUGUCACUACUUCACUAAGGUUAGGCUAGGCACUCACCAACACAUGGGGUCGGUUGUGCUGAUGCUACACUCUAUGCUAUUUUGCACAUAUCACGGUGUUGGAGCAGUUUUCGAGCAGCAGUAGUAGUCUGGGAGCGAGCCUUCAGUCUAGAGACACCGAGGUAGCCUUGCUAACGUCUGCAUGCCCGAAGUAUCCUCUAUGUUUAUUUCAGUUUGUUAUCCUUUGUACCAAAACAAACAGUUUAUGAUUUCUUUCACACCUUGUAUGUAGUGUUUUUAGAUGUUCGUGAGCUUGUGACUCUAGUUCUUGGGUAGAGAUUUAUGUUGGGACUUCCUUAUUAUUUUCCAGCUAUUUAAAUUUAAGACUUCCGCUUAUGAUUUUAAUUCCAUUGUUUCGCUUCAAUGCUGAUAAUUAUUAAAAAGGGUUAUGUGUUUAAUGAAAAGUAAUUAAAUUUUGGCUUGCCUAGCUUCCACGUGUAAGCGCCAUCACGACUCCCGUGGUGGGGAUUUCGGGUCGUGACAAUAACCUACUUUCUCUCUUUUCAAUAAGAUAACACUUGCUAUGUUUUGAAAUAAAGUGUGAAUGUUCACUACUCUACUCUUCUCCAGAGACUCCACUAGUUUCUCGAGUGAGUAUGCGGAGUGAUAGGGGUAUUCAAAUUGAAUCGAAAAAUCGCACGAAAUCGAAAAGUCAAACCAAACAAAUUAUAAAAUCCGAAUAUGUUUGAUUUGAUUUGGCUUGAUAUUGAAUUAAAAAAAUUCGAACCAAACCAACAUAUAAAUAUAUUUUAUUUUAUAUAUACUUUUAAGGCUUUAUAUUGAAUAUUUUCUUUUUAAAAAAUAUAAAAAUAUUUGUGAUCCUCUCCUGGAAUGUAAUAUUUCAUAGAACUUUCCUGAGCUGGGGGUGUAUUAGAAACAACACCUCUAUCCUCACAAGGUAGGGAUAGCGUACACACUACCCUCCCCAGACCCGUUAGUGUGGGAUAAUACUGGGUGUGUAGUUGUAUAAAGUGUAUUUAUUUUUAUUUACAAUAAAUAAUAUGUUGUAUCACUUUCUUAUUAAGUUUUAUUGAAGUGUGUCAAUCAUCUCUUAGUUCUUACAUAUUCAUAUGUCAAGAUUUCUUAUAUCUUUUUCGAAUUUGAAACGAUAUUUCGAUACUUUAAAAUUAAAUAGAAUGUAUCAGUAUUUAGGCAUCAUCUUAAUUUUUAUGUUUAAUUAUUAAAUUUUAUUACCUUGAAAGAGUACAUUAACAAAAACUUUUUGCUAGACAAUUAAGAAAAUAAUAAUCAUGUGUUAAUAAGAAAAUUCUCCCAUAAGAAUAUUUUAGUAAAUCAUAUGUUAUUCAAUUUUUAAAAAUUUUACUAAUAUUUAUUCAAUUAUCAAAACUUUAUCUAUAACUUUAACCAAGUAAGAUUUAAAAAUAUUCAUGUAAUAAAAAAAUCUGAAAAGUCUAACAAAACCGAACCAAUCCAAACCGAUAUAGUUGAUUUGGUUUGGUUUUGAUUAAAACUGAAUCAACUCGGUCCAUGUACAUCCCUGAUGAGUCAUGUGUGAGAAAUUUAAAAUUAGUCAGAUUUACCACUGAUCGUUGAAAAAUAGCCAAGUUCAAAUGUUAUCGAAAUUUAGCCAUUUUUUAGGUAAAGAUAAAUCUGAGCAAAAACACUAUUCAAAAUUCAAAAAAUACGGCUGCAAACUUUACGGGAGUUCCAGCAUAAGUAUGCUUGAACUCCCACAUAUUUUACGGGAGUUCUAGCAAGUAUAAAUGUCCAGUAUAAUAUAUAUAGAAGUUUGGAGCACUGGCUUCAGUCUCCCGCAAAUUUUACAGGAGUUAGCAAAGUAUAUCAGUCCAGCAUAAUAUGCUGGAGUACGUACACAAAUGCACUAGAACUCAUAUAUAUUAUACUGGACCGGUCUCUGUUGCAGCAAAAUAGUGGUUAUUUUUUAUUGAUUCAAUAAACGCUGGCUAUUUUUGAUUGAUCAGUGUGAAAACUAACUAUACCAUGAUAUUUUAACUGUAUAUACAUGUGAUAUUGUUACUUAUUUUGAUUUAUGAGUCAAGUAACAGGGACCGAAAAGUGCAUGUCUCCAAACAACUAGACCAACGUUAACAAAACUUUUAUUUUCCGCAUACUUUGUUAGCUGGAAUGAAUGAUAUGCUACUUCUGAAUAUCUUUUGUUGAGUGGAAGUUAAUGGGAAAAAGAAAAGGAGGUGAAGGGCAUAUAAUUAGAAACUGUAGACUUAAUCAUGUAACAUGUGCCCACAGCAGAAAAUGAUCAAAUAAAAGAGUGAUGAAACUGUAGACGCACCUGUUUGGAAAGGUUGAAGAAGAUGUAUUUUAUGUGCAGAAAAGAUGAAUCAUAUAAGAGAAACACAAGUGUUUGUAGGGUUCAACUUUUGAUAUGAAUGAACCGAAACCAUUCAUCAAACUAAUAUCCUCCUUCAAAAGAUUUAUGGAACUGGAGCUUUGAUAUCUCACUUGAAAGAUAAUCUAAAAGGAAAAGUAGGUUGACAAAAAUUGUACAAGGAAAUUUCCCCCAUGAAAAGUGGUUGCAAUGCAGCAAGCAGCACAUAUGAUAUAUCCUUUUGGAGCAAGCAUGUGUAAUGACAAUAUGGAGAACUAUAUCAUGCCAUUUACAACCUUAAAAAUGUAAUGAAUACAGGUGUUGAGAAAAAAAAAUU
RNAcentral lists this long non-coding RNA (13981 nucleotides) under Nicotiana benthamiana. RNAcentral describes it as "long non-coding RNA (NBEN_LNC024292)". The record is from RNAcentral. Lineage: Eukaryota; Viridiplantae; Streptophyta; Magnoliopsida; Solanales; Solanaceae.